Long non-coding RNA from Carassius auratus (goldfish), 279 nucleotides. RefSeq lists it as uncharacterized. The record is from RefSeq and is a predicted model, not a curated record. The transcript is spliced from 3 exons. Lineage: Eukaryota; Metazoa; Chordata; Actinopteri; Cypriniformes; Cyprinidae.
AGUGACAUUAUAUACUGAAUUCCUCCCGAUAAAAUCCAGAGGGAUAUCUAUAAUCCUGUUAGGGGUGUUCUGGGCCCUGGGUGCUGUGUUUGAAGUGUUACUGGCUAUGGUGGUCAUGCCCACAUUAGGCUGGAAAUGGCUGCUAGCUUUCUCCACCUUUCCUCUUGUUAUCUUUGCUGCCUCCUGCUGUUGGUUACCAGAAAGUGCUAGAUAAGACAAGGCCCUGGACACUUUGAAAUAUAUAGCAGCAGAUAAUGGGAGCUCUAUGCCUACUGGAAG